AGGAUAGAGGCGCGGUUCUCAUGCGUACUCCGGAACAAGGCCAGGCAGCCGUUGCGGAGGAGAGGGGGAAUCGCCGAAGGAACCCUUGCCUGCCUGGGCGGGGAACCUGGGCCGUAGGAGAAUAUCCUGCGGACUGUCACUUUUGUGGAGCGCUAUCC
RNAcentral lists this non-coding RNA (158 nucleotides) under uncultured Lawsonibacter sp. Its description in RNAcentral is "Lysine riboswitch". It matches the Rfam family "Lysine riboswitch aptamer". Rfam says of the family: Riboswitches are metabolite binding domains within certain messenger RNAs that serve as precision sensors for their corresponding targets. Lineage: Bacteria; Bacillati; Bacillota; Clostridia; Eubacteriales; Oscillospiraceae. The record is from RNAcentral.